This 468-nucleotide ribosomal RNA is filed under the name uncultured bacterium. RNAcentral's name for it is "partial 16S ribosomal RNA". It matches the Rfam family "Bacterial small subunit ribosomal RNA", at positions 28 to 507 of the family's 1533-position model. The record is from RNAcentral.
GAUGAACGCUGGCGGCGUGCUUAACACAUGCAAGUCGAACGGAAAGGCCGAAGCUUGCUUCGGUACUCGAGUGGCGAACGGGUGAGUAACACGUGGGUGAUCUGCCCUGUACUUCGGGAUAAGCUUGGGAAACUGGGUCUAAUACCGGAUAUGACGAUCUCUUGGAUGGGGUUGUGGAAAGCUUUUGCGGUAUGGGAUGAGCUCGCGGCCUAUCAACUUGUUGGUGGGGUAAUGGCCUACCAAGGCGUCGACGGGUAGCCGGCCUGAGAGGGUGUACGGCCACAUUGGGACUGAGAUACGGCCCAGACUCCUACGGGAGGCAGCAGUGGGGAAUAUUGCACAAUGGGCGCAAGCCUGAUGCAGCGACGCCGCGUGGGGGAUGACGGCCUUCGGGUUGUAAACUCCUUUCGCAAUCGACGAAGCCUUUUGGUGACGGUAGGUUGAGAAGAAGCACCGGCUAACUACGUG